UUUAUUCAUUUAAAAUUAAUGACAUUUAAUUUAAAUUUAGUGUCAAUCUAGGGUGUCAGCAGUUUCAUGAAGUGAAAUAGAAAAUGGGCUUUAUUCGAAGAGAUCUCCUGCAUUUUGUAAUUAUAGCAGGAAUAGCAUACUUGCUUUUAAAAAAAAGUGGAAAGUUAUGAUUGUACAAGAAUACAAAACAGAGAAUACAAAAAACCUGCAGCUCUACCUUUAAAAAUUCUUUGUUCCGCAGUGAGAAAAUAAAUAUUAGGAUGGAUUUAAUAUUUUUUUAAAAUAAUUCUUUACAUGCUUUUGGUAAAAUAAAAUAUUAAGCACA
Long non-coding RNA from Tribolium castaneum (red flour beetle), 325 nucleotides. RefSeq lists it as uncharacterized. The record is from RefSeq and is a predicted model, not a curated record. The transcript is spliced from 2 exons. Lineage: Eukaryota; Metazoa; Arthropoda; Insecta; Coleoptera; Tenebrionidae.